RNAcentral lists this ribosomal RNA (250 nucleotides) under uncultured bacterium. RNAcentral's name for it is "partial 16S ribosomal RNA". It matches the Rfam family "Bacterial small subunit ribosomal RNA", at positions 524 to 773 of the family's 1533-position model. The record is from RNAcentral.
UACGGAGGGUGCAAGCAUUGAUCGGAAUUACUGGGCGUAAAGGGCGCGUAGGCGGUUUAGAAAGUCAGAUGUGAAAUUCCGGGGCUCAACCCCGGAGCUGCAUUUGAAACUUCUAAACUAGAGUAUAGUUAGGGAAAACGGAAUUCCACGUGUAGCGGUGAAAUGCGUAGAUAUGUGGAAGAACACCGGUGGUGAAGACGGUUUUCUGGGCUAAAACUGACGCUGAGGCGCGAAAGCAAGGGGAGCAAAC